GGUACUUCAGGUGAAAGUUUCAAAUCAGAGAAUAUUCAGCCCUUUGUGAAAAAUGAUACCAAAAAAGUUUCAAGCUGCGCUUCUGAAACUCUGCAAGAGGAAUCCAUCCAUUCUUUACUCAGCAAUGUUCAAGAGGAACAAACUCCAGUGUUGCCUGUAUUAUCUGCUUCAGCCAGGCAGAGUAAAUUUCACGUACCUCUGAGCUCUCCAUCGGCAGCACUAGGCCCCUCGGCACGUAUGGCAGGAGCGCUUCAUUGUUUAUCAUGGCUGUCAAUAAUGAACAAAAAGCUGUAACCUACACAGUUCCAGGCAGGAACUCGGCCUGCGUUAGUUGGAACACUACUUGGCCACCAAGUCUGCGUUAAAAAGGAUACCUCUUUGAUGGUCCAGGCCUGCAUU
Hemiscyllium ocellatum (epaulette shark) is the source of this 399-nucleotide long non-coding RNA. RefSeq lists it as uncharacterized. The record is from RefSeq and is a predicted model, not a curated record. NCBI's taxonomy places the organism in Eukaryota, Metazoa, Chordata, Chondrichthyes, Orectolobiformes, Hemiscylliidae. The transcript has 3 exons.